RNAcentral lists this long non-coding RNA (216 nucleotides) under Vigna radiata. RNAcentral describes it as "long non-coding RNA (VRAD_LNC006172)". Lineage: Eukaryota; Viridiplantae; Streptophyta; Magnoliopsida; Fabales; Fabaceae. The record is from RNAcentral.
GGGGCCAAGGACAAGGGAGGAUACAUCUGGAUAAGAAGCUACAAACCAAAAGGAACAGAGGAGCAAUGGGGAACAAGUGUAAACACCUUCAAACACACCCANAACCUCUAAUUCCAUCCUCUUCUUGACUCCAUUAUUCACAAAUUUUUUUUUUUCUGUAUUUUUUUUUUCAUUUUGUCUCUUUCCUUUUCUCUCUUUUCAGAACACAACUCUAAG